AUACGGGAGUGGCAAGCGUUAUCCGGAAUUAUUGGGCGUAAAGCGUCCGCAGGCGGCCCAGAAAGUCUGCUGUUAAAACGUGGAGCUUAACUCCAUCAUGGCAGUGGAAACUGUUGGGCUUGAGUGUGGUAGGGGCAGAGGGAAUUCCCGGUGUAGCGGUGAAAUGCAUAGAUAUGUCAUAGAACACCAAUUGCGAAGGCAGCUUACGAAACUACGACUGACGCUCAUGGACGAAAGCGUGGGUAGCGAACAGGAUUAGAUACCCUGGUAGUCCACGCCGUAAACGAUGAUCACUCGAUGUCAGCGAUAUACUGUUGGUGUCUUAGCGAAAGUUUUAAGUGAUCCACCUGGGGAGUACGUUCGCAAGAAUGAAACUCAAAGGAAUUGACGGGGCCCGCACAAGCGGUGGAGCAUGUGGUUUAAUUCGAUGAUACGCGAGGAACCUUACCUGGGCUUAAAUGUAGAGUGCUUUUUCNGGAAACAGAUUUUUCUUCGGACGCUCUACAAGGUGC
This 512-nucleotide ribosomal RNA is filed under the name uncultured bacterium. Its description in RNAcentral is "bacterial SSU rRNA". It matches the Rfam family "Bacterial small subunit ribosomal RNA", at positions 523 to 1041 of the family's 1533-position model. The record is from RNAcentral.